Molecule: ribosomal RNA, 253 nt
Filed under: uncultured bacterium
Lineage: Bacteria
Description: partial 16S ribosomal RNA
Rfam family: Bacterial small subunit ribosomal RNA
Source: RNAcentral
UACGUAGGGUGCGAGCGUUGUCCGGAAUUACUGGGCGUAAAGAGCUCGUAGGUGGUUUGUCGCGUUGUUCGUGAAAACCGGGGGCUUAACUCUCGGCGUGCGGGCGAUACGGGCAGACUGGAGUACUGCAGGGGAGACUGGAAUUCCUGGUGUAGCGGUGGAAUGCGCAGAUAUCAGGAGGAACACCGGUGGCGAAGGCGGGUUGCUGGGCUGACACUGACGCUGAUGCGCGAAAGCCAGGGGAGCGAACGGG